CGAGCGAACCGGGAAGAGC
Molecule: small nuclear RNA, 19 nt
Filed under: Arabidopsis thaliana (thale cress)
Lineage: Eukaryota; Viridiplantae; Streptophyta; Magnoliopsida; Brassicales; Brassicaceae
Description: snRNA_16132
Source: RNAcentral